AGCGAACGCUGGCGGCAGGCCUAACACAUGCAAGUCGAACGAACUCUUCGGAGUUAGUGGCGGACGGGUGAGUCACACGGGGGAACGUGCCUUUUGGCUCGGAAAAACACAGGGACACUUGUGCUAAUACAGAAAGUGUCCCGCGGGGGAAAGAUUCAUCGUGAUUAUAGCGGCACGCGACUGACUAGCCAGUUGGGGAGGUAACGGCCCAUCAAGGCGUAGAUCAGUAGCUGGUCUGAGAGGAUGACCAGCGACACUUGGACUGAGACGCGGCCCAGAAUACUACAGGAGGCAGCAGUGGGGAAUCUUGCGCAAUGGGCGAGGGCAUGACGCAGCCAGGCCGCGUGAAUGAUGAAGGUCUGAGGAUAGUACAAUUCUUUCACCGGGGACGAUAAUGACGGUACCCGAAGAAGAAGCCCCGGCUAACUUCGUG
RNAcentral lists this ribosomal RNA (433 nucleotides) under uncultured bacterium. RNAcentral describes it as "partial 16S ribosomal RNA". It matches the Rfam family "Bacterial small subunit ribosomal RNA", at positions 29 to 507 of the family's 1533-position model. The record is from RNAcentral.